AGAUUGAACGCUGGCGGCAUGCCUUACACAUGCAAGUCGAACGGUAGAGUAGCAAUACUCGAGAGUGGCGAACGGGUGAGUAAUAUAUCGGAACGUGCCCAGUCGUGGGGGAUAACGUAGAGAAAUUUACGCUAAUACCGCAUACGAUCUAAGGAUGAAAGCGGGGGAUCGCAAGACCUCGCGCGAUUGGAGCGGCUGAUAUCAGAUUAGGUUGUUGGUGAGGUAAAAGCUCACCAAGCCGACGAUCUGUAGCUGGUUUGAGAGAACGACCAGCCACACUGGGACUGAGACACGGCCCAGACUCCACGGGAGCAGCAGUGGGGAAUUUUGGACAAGUGGGACGAAGCCUGAUCCAGCAAUGCCGCGUGCAAGGAAGAAGGCCGUUCGGUUAGUAAACUGUACUUUUAGAACGGUAACGAAAGCCGUAUUUACUAAUAAA
This 439-nucleotide ribosomal RNA is filed under the name uncultured soil bacterium. RNAcentral describes it as "bacterial SSU rRNA". It matches the Rfam family "Bacterial small subunit ribosomal RNA", at positions 26 to 487 of the family's 1533-position model. The record is from RNAcentral.